RNAcentral lists this long non-coding RNA (1741 nucleotides) under Marmota monax (woodchuck). The record is from RNAcentral. Lineage: Eukaryota; Metazoa; Chordata; Mammalia; Rodentia; Sciuridae.
GACUGGAGCCAGGGACAGAGUAUUUCUGGAAGGCUUGGCUGGGCUCCUCAUCUCCUGCUAUUUAUUUACUCAGUGAGAUCACUAUAAACAAUGCUGGGGCAUGGUGACCAUCCUCAGUGGCCACUCCUCUCUGGCUAUCCAGAGAUCAAGAAAUAUAAAUACUCCAUCCAUUUGUGUAUCUCAGAACAGUUGCUUAGCACCAUCAGGUGCAGUAAUGGUGCUGGGGACAUGGAUACAAUAAUAGCUGACACUUGUUUGUCCCUUUGCAGGUGCCAGGAACUGUUGAAAGUGCUUUGUGUGUUCGAUGUUAUUUAGCAUAACACACAUCUGUCAAAAUGGUUCUUUUAUUGUCAAGAGGAAACUGAGGCUCAGAACAGAAAUAGAACAUGCCCGGGGGCUGGGGUUAUAGCUCGGUGGUAGAGCACUUGCCUCGUACAUGUGAGGCACUGGGUUCCAUCCUUAGCAGCACAUAAAAAUAAAUAAAGUAAAUAUGUACAUAUAAAAAGAACUUGCCAAGGCCACUCAGUCAGGAAGUGGUGGGAUCUGGGCUUGGAACUAGAGCUUUGUCCUCAUAACCACCAUGCUGCACGGUCCCCAUCAGUUUUCAUAAGGAAUAAGCCGCAGACUUGGCAUUCCAGAGGCACAGAACAGGGCAAGCAAACCUGUGGGUGGAGUUCCCUGCAUCAGGGGUCCUCAGAGCCUGAGUGGCUCCCGCCACAUGCCAGGCCCUGUUCUGACUUCCUUACACAUAGUAUUGUCCCCUAAGUCUCCACAGUGGCCCUAGCUGGUAAGCGUAGCAGGGCCCGCAUUUCGCAUUGGAGACACAGGGUCCAGCAGCUCACCUGUGGUCUCAGGACCGUCAAGUGGCCCCACUGAGAUUUGAAGCCAGCCCCGCCCUCCAGGGUCCAGGCUCUUAUCCUCGUCCAGCAUCAGGCCUCUGUCUGGCAAAUGUCAUGCCCAUGUGCUGGUGUGCAGGUGGCCCAGAAGCCCCUGACCCCUGGGUGGCUCAGGGGUUCCUCCCGCGCCCUGUGCUUGCAGGAGCAGAGCUGGCGCUGCUAACUGAAAGCUGCGGGAGCGUCUGUUCCCUUGUCUAUAAAAUGGGGGAAUGAGGUCAGCUCCACCUGCCUCUUGGAGCUGCUGUGGGGACCAAGAUCAGGUAUGGGCAGGGCUCUGUGGAGCGUGACUGCUGGCCUCAGAAACACCAAGUUCCAUGGCUCCAUGGCUGUUGUGCUGGCAGCUUGGGAGGAGGCCAGGCUACCGACCUACCUCAAGGCUUCAGCCCUCAGGUUCAGGAUGCCUGGCCCAUGAUGAACGGAGAGAUCAUUAUUUUAAUUGCAAAAUGUCUAUCAACGAAGAGUCUCAUUUGAUGAUGUGGAUGGAUCGAGAAUUAAACCUUUUACUUUUUAAAAUUAAUUAGCUAAUUUAUUAGUCUUUUUCCAAGACUAAUCUCUAGGCUGGAUUCAAGGGCACCUAGGCCAGCCCUCGGGGAUGGCUCCAUGCCAGGCUGGCCCUGGGUGCUCUCUGUGGCCAGCUGCACUGGGCGCUGCAGCUCAGGGAGGCUGUGUCUGCUGCCCACAUGGUGCCUUGCUGGGUGCCUGGGACCCAGUUCUGCCACCUUUCCCCCACCUGCCAGCUCGCUGCUUCUCUGUUGAGGGUUGUGGUUGACACCUUGACCUUGUGCAGGGUGUGAGGCAAGGGCCAUGCUGCUCCAUCCCCCAGAGCUCCUGUGGGUCUGGCUGUC